GUAUUGCGCAAUGGAGGAAACUCUGACGCAGCGACGCCGCGUGAGCGAUGAAGGUCUUNGGCUCGNANAGCUCUGUCCUUGGGGANGAAGAUAGAAAGAUUUGACGGUACCCGAGGAGGAAGCCCCGGCUAACUACGUGCCAGCAGCCGCGGUAAUACGUAGGGGGCAAGCGUUGUCCGGAAUUAUUGGGCGUAAAGGGUUCGUAGGCGGCGUUUUAGGUAAGAUGUGAAAAACCGCGGAUAAACCGUAGGGUUGCAUUUGAAACUGGUAGGCUUGAGUAUCGGGGAGGGUAGUGGAAUUCCCAGUGUAGCGGUGAAAUGCGUAGAUAUUGGGAGGAACACCAGUGGCGAAGGCGACUACCUGGACUGAUACUGACACUGAGGUGCGAAGGCGUGGGGAGCAAAC
Molecule: ribosomal RNA, 405 nt
Filed under: uncultured bacterium
Lineage: Bacteria
Description: partial 16S ribosomal RNA
Rfam family: Bacterial small subunit ribosomal RNA
Source: RNAcentral